UAAGAGAGGGGGAAGGUGGCCAGGAGAAGACAGAGAUAGGCUUUCCAAUGAGAUUUUCAGUUUUACUGAGAGGAAAAACAGAGAGUAAUCUGCUGAGUCAUUGCCACAUUAUUUAGGAUAUGGGAUUGAAUGCAAACACACCUUAAGAUGAAGCUCACAUUUUGGAGGGCAAGAGCCAGUCUCAUAUUCCUUCGUGCUAUAGCUCCUACUAUAAAGUUGGAGGUCUAAUCUUGUAGAGGAGGAGAAAAAGGCAGGUUGUGGUUACCACAUUUAUACCAGUGCCAUAGCUGGUCUAAAUCAGAACUGGGGAACACCAGUUGUUCCAGAUAUUAUUUGGCUGCAACUCCCAUAGCCCAUGGUGAACGGAGAUGCAGGUUCCAGCCUAACAACAACCAUGUGGCUCCACAUUCUUUCUCUUUGCUUAAACGAAUUUACUCCAGUUCCUUACGCUAAUAGGAUUUUGUUGUUGUGAAAGUCAAAAAGGCAUGCUAAUAAUGGACAGGGCAGGAGAAUCAGCCCAAGUAUUGCUCCAUGUUUCUGCCUGCAGGCAGGAGCCUGGCAGGGCUUUGGACUGAUCAAAGACUCUGAUAUCUGAAUGCCCUGUCUCUCUGCUUCUUUCUCCAUAUGACUGCAGUCUUAGUUUAGCACAGUUCUUCAAAGGGUUACAAGGCACAUCAGAAAAACAGCAUAUUUUAGAUCAAUAUAAUACGCAUUUGUAGGCCCAGUGUUAAAUGACAAGUUGUAACAGCUUCAUCUUUUUACCUGCUUGUUAGUCUGAAUUCUACCAGUAGCUCUUUAUUAUAUUUCACAAUAUAAAUAAAAUGCAAUCAAUGUAAUAAAACAGUAUAAUUUUUUUAAAAAAAAGAUUACUCCAGGGAAAGUAGACGAAAUUGCCUACUCUUAUUUCAUGGUGUUGUCCAGCUAUAUUUGGGGCAGGGGAGGAGACAGGGUAUAAAACAAAUAGAAUAUAGAAAGCAAUAAAUUUAUUUUAAAAAUGUGUUUCCAUUUCUCUCCUCUUCCUUCCCAUAGGCCAGUUGAUGGCACAUUACAUCUGGGGAAAGGGAGGGACAGAAACGAGGGUCAGAGCUGCUUCUGCGUCACAGCAUGCCAGCUAUAAUCGGACUCUUGCAACAUCCACCUCUGACUAAUCUAUUCCAUAUCCAAUCUCUGGUUGGAAGGUGAGCCUAUACUGCAUUCUUCGUGGUUGCGAUAGCCAGUGUCAUGUAAUGGUUAAGUGUAAUGGUUGACCGAUGAGACUCAGGUUCAUAUCCCUGUUUAACUGGGCCAGGUAAAAGUAAAGUUUCCCCUUGACAUUUAGUCCAGUCAUGUCCGACUCUAGGGCGUGGUGCUCAUCCCCGUCUCCAAGCCGUACAGCCAGCAUUUGUGCGUAGCUUCCGUGGUCACGUGGCCAGCGCGACUAGACACAGAACGCCAUUACCUUCCCACCAUGGUGG
Molecule: long non-coding RNA, 1454 nt
Filed under: Pogona vitticeps (central bearded dragon)
Lineage: Eukaryota; Metazoa; Chordata; Lepidosauria; Squamata; Agamidae
Description: lncRNA (ENSPVIG00000014685.1)
Source: RNAcentral